AGUGGCGAACGGGUGAGUAACACGUGAAUAAUCUGCCCUGUACGAUGGGAUAACAGCUGGAAACGGCUGCUAAUACCGUAUAUGACCACGCCGAGGCAUCUCGGAGGGGUGAAAGCGCUUAAGCGGUACAGGAUGAGUUCGCGUCCAAUUAGCUAGUUGGUGAGGUAACGGCCCACCAAGGCGACGAUUGGUAGCCGACCUGAGAGGGUGAUCGGCCACACUGGAACUGAGACACGGUCCAGACUCCUACGGGAGGCAGCAGGUGGGGAGUAGUUGGGCAAUGGAAGGAAACUCUUACCCAAGCAAUGCCGCGUGAGUGAUGGAAGGUCUUCGGAUUAGUAAAGCUUCUUUGAUUGGGGACGAAUAAAUGACGGUACCCAAGGAACAAGCCCCGGCUAACUAUGUGCCAGCCGCCGC
This 417-nucleotide ribosomal RNA is filed under the name uncultured bacterium. RNAcentral's name for it is "bacterial SSU rRNA". It matches the Rfam family "Bacterial small subunit ribosomal RNA", at positions 94 to 518 of the family's 1533-position model. The record is from RNAcentral.